This 334-nucleotide long non-coding RNA is filed under the name Pan troglodytes (chimpanzee). RNAcentral's name for it is "long non-coding RNA NONPTRT012851". Lineage: Eukaryota; Metazoa; Chordata; Mammalia; Primates; Hominidae. The record is from RNAcentral.
GAAGCUGACUCAACCCAAACUUUCUGAGAUCACACGAAAAUGUUUUCCUUCUGAUCUCAACUUUUCUCCUUAUCGUGGGGCAUGGAAAGGAGGAGAUCGCAGCAGGGAAGUUUUUGUUCUUGUUCACAUGCUAACAAUGACUAUCGAUUUACGGCAAUGGAUUGGUCAAGGAAGGAUAAAGAAACUUGGAAAGAACUAUCAUGAUACCUGCCCUGAGAAGCUGAAAUUUGGUUUAACUUUGUGUUGUUUACUGUUUGGUUCUAUAAAAGCUAAGUUUAUAAAAUAUUGUAUGACAGGUGAAUUUAAAUGUUACUAACCAUCUUGGAUGUCCUGC